Molecule: ribosomal RNA, 722 nt
Filed under: Brachybacterium sp. VR8-2
Lineage: Bacteria; Bacillati; Actinomycetota; Actinomycetes; Micrococcales; Dermabacteraceae
Also listed under: 1 other name
Description: bacterial SSU rRNA
Rfam family: Bacterial small subunit ribosomal RNA
Source: RNAcentral
GCUCAGGACGAACGCUGGCGGCGUGCUUAACACAUGCAAGUCGAACGAUGACGGUGGUGCUUGCACCGCCUGAUUAGUGGCGAACGGGUGAGUAACACGUGAGUAACCUGCCCUCCACUUCGGGAUAACCUCGGGAAAUCGUGGCUAAUACCGGAUAUGAGCACUCAUCGCAUGGUGAGUGCUGGAAAGAUUUAUCGGUGGGGGAUGGACUCGCGGCCUAUCAGUUUGUUGGUGAGGUGAUGGCUCACCAAGACGAUGACGGGUAGCCGGCCUGAGAGGGCGACCGGCCACACUGGGACUGAGACACGGCCCAGACUCCUACGGGAGGCAGCAGUGGGGAAUAUUGCACAAUGGGCGAAAGCCUGAUGCAGCGACGCCGCGUGGGGGAUGACGGCCUUCGGGUUGUAAACCCCUUUCAGUAGGGAAGAAGCGAGAGUGACGGUACCUGCAGAAGAAGCGCCGGCUAACUACGUGCCAGCAGCCGCGGUAAUACGUAGGGCGCAAGCGUUGUCCGGAAUUAUUGGGCGUAAAGAGCUUGUAGGUGGCUUGUCGCGUCUGCCGUGAAAACCCGAGGCUCAACCUCGGGCGUGCGGUGGGUACGGGCAGGCUAGAGUGUGGUAGGGGAGACUGGAACUCCUGGUGUAGCGGUGAAAUGCGCAGAUAUCAGGAAGAACACCGAUGGCGAAGGCAGGUCUCUGGGCCAUUACUGACACUGAGAAGCG